CACGUAGUUAGCCGGGGCUUCUUAGUCAGGUACCGUCCAGGCGCCCAAGGGGCACCCUUCUUCCCUGCUGAUAGAGCUUUACAUACCGAAAUACUUCUUCACUCACGCGGCGUCGCUGCAUCAGGGUUUCCCCCAUUGUGCAAUAUUCCCCACUGCUGCCUCCCGUAGGAGUUUGGGCCGUGUCUCAGUCCCAAUGUGGCCGUCCGCCCUCUCAGGCCGGCUACCGAUCGUCGCUUUGGUGGGCCGUUACCCCGCCAACUGGCUAAUCGGACGCGGAUCCAUCGUAUGCCGUUAAACCUUUUCACACUGUGUCAUGCGACACCGUGCGCUUAUGCGGUAUUAGCAACUGUUUCCAGUUGGUAUCCCCCUGCAUACGGCAGGUUAUCCCACGCGUUACUCACCCGUCCGCCACUCACUUAAUUAUCACUUAGGUUUCAAAUUAAGUCCGUUCGACUUGCUAUGUGUUAGGCACGGCCGCCAGCCGUUCGACUCCUGACGUCCAAGGUAUACAAAACCUUCUA
This 521-nucleotide ribosomal RNA is filed under the name uncultured Lachnospiraceae bacterium. Its description in RNAcentral is "partial 16S ribosomal RNA". Lineage: Bacteria; Bacillati; Bacillota; Clostridia; Lachnospirales; Lachnospiraceae. The record is from RNAcentral.